GACGAACGCUGGCGGCGUGCUUAACACAUGCCAGUCGAACGCUGAAGCUCAGCUUUUGUUGGGUGGAUGAGUGGCGAACGGGUGAGUAACACGUGAGUAACCUGCCUCCUUCUUUGGGAUAACGCCCGGAAACGGGUGCUAAUACUGGAUAUUCACUGGUCUUCGCAUGGGGGUUGGUGGAAAGGGUUUUUCUGGUGGGGGAUGGGCUCGCGGCCUAUCAGCUUGUUGGUGGGGUGAUGGCCUACCAAGGCUUUGACGGGUAGCCGGCCUGAGAGGGUGACCGGUCACAUUGGGACUGAGAUACGGCCCAGACUCCUACGGGAGGCAGCAGUGGGGAAUAUUGCACAAUGGGCGCAAGCCUGAUGCAGCGACGCCGCGUGAGGGAUGGAGGCCUUCGGGUUGUGAACCUCUUUCGCUCAUGGUCAAGCCGCAACAAUGGUUGUGGUGAGGGUAGUGGGUAAAGAAGCGCCGGCUAACUACGU
RNAcentral lists this ribosomal RNA (482 nucleotides) under uncultured bacterium. RNAcentral describes it as "partial 16S ribosomal RNA". It matches the Rfam family "Bacterial small subunit ribosomal RNA", at positions 28 to 506 of the family's 1533-position model. The record is from RNAcentral.